AUUUUCUAUCUAUAUGGCUCGGCCAAAUCUCGUGCCAGCAGUCGCGGGAAUACGAGGAAGACUAGUGUUAUUCAUCUUUAUUAGGUUUAAAGGGUACCUAGACGGCAUAUCAAGCCCCAAAAGGGAACGGAUAUACUAGAGUUUUAUGUGAGAGGAAUAUAUUAGUACUAUUGGUGUAUAGAUGAAAUUCUUUGAGACUAAUAGGACGGAUAAGAGCAAAAGCAAACCUUUAUGUAAAAACUGACGUUGAGGGACGAAGGCUUGGGUCGCGAAUAGGAUUAGAUACCCUAGUAGUCCAAGCAGAGAAUUAUGAAUGUUAUAGACUUGCGAAUGUAAGUGUAUAAAUGAAAGUGUAAGCAUUCCACCUCAAGAGUAAUGUGGCAACGCAGGAACUGAAAUCAUUA
This 404-nucleotide ribosomal RNA is filed under the name Aureobasidium sp. BJ-2021c. RNAcentral describes it as "SSU rRNA". It matches the Rfam family "Bacterial small subunit ribosomal RNA", at positions 475 to 911 of the family's 1533-position model. The record is from RNAcentral. Lineage: Eukaryota; Fungi; Ascomycota; Dothideomycetes; Dothideales; Saccotheciaceae.